Ahaetulla prasina is the source of this 527-nucleotide long non-coding RNA. RefSeq lists it as uncharacterized. The transcript is spliced from 4 exons. The record is from RefSeq and is a predicted model, not a curated record. NCBI's taxonomy places the organism in Eukaryota, Metazoa, Chordata, Lepidosauria, Squamata, Colubridae.
GUUACGGACUACUGGCUCUUUGACUGCUUUGGACUGAAGGCUGGGAUUUCUUGGUCAUCGGAUUUGACGGCAUCCAUCUGCGUAACCAUCUGCUCAGACUAGAGCCGACUUUUUGGUCAGAACCAUGUGACCACAAAAACUUCAGAUGUGUAAUGUGUGCAACUUGCACUGCCUGGCUCGCUCUGCCUUGCUUUGGCUGCUGCAAUCAGUUACAUCAGCUAGCAACUGAAUCUGCCUGCCUGCAAUCCAUUUCCUCCGUGAAUCUGCCUGUCUCCAAUUGGCUGAGUGUUGUGGUUCGCCAGCAGCCUGCGGAGCUGGCAAUGGAGUUGGACAGCGAUGAGGCUGAGGAAGAACAUGGGCCAGCCCUGGAGUCUGGGGAAGGUGUCGGAGGCAGAGGUGGGGCCAUCUGGGAGUGAGGUGCAGACUCCGGAGCCUCCAGAGACUGAUAGUAGUGAGGCAGAGGAACAGGAGGAGUCUGUUCCUAAUGCACGCAUGAGAAGAGCUGCCAGAAGGCAAGAGCAGCUAAA